Molecule: transfer RNA, 71 nt
Filed under: Theopropus elegans
Lineage: Eukaryota; Metazoa; Arthropoda; Insecta; Mantodea; Hymenopodidae
Description: tRNA-Lys
Source: RNAcentral
CAUUAGAUGACUGAAAAGCAAGUAAUGGUCUCUUAAACCACAUUAUAGUAAUAUAGCAUUUACUCUAAUGA